AGCACAGCUUCAGGUUUUGGCUAGUCCUGUCAGCAGAAAACCAUGAAGCGAGUGCUAAGAGCAUAUUCUUCUUUGCAACCCAUGGCUGAUUCGUAUUAGCUGUGUUACUUACAGGAAGGAACAUA
Anolis carolinensis (green anole) is the source of this 125-nucleotide small nucleolar RNA. The record is from Ensembl. NCBI's taxonomy places the organism in Eukaryota, Metazoa, Chordata, Lepidosauria, Squamata, Anolidae.